AGUCGCCGCGGUAAUACAGAGGGUGCAAGCGUUAAUCGGAAUUACUGGGCGUAAAGCGCGCGUAGGUGGUUCGCCAAGUUGGAUGUGAAAUCCCCGGGCUCAACCUGGGAACUGCAUCCAAAACUGGCGAGCUAGAGUAUGGUAGAGGGUGGUGGAAUUUCCUGUGUAGCGGUGAAAUGCGUAGAUAUAGGAAGGAACAUCAGUGGCGAAGGCGACCACCUGGACUGAUACUGACACUGAGGUGCGAAAGCGUGGGGAGCAAACAGGAUUAGAUACCCCCGUAGUCCCUGUCUCUUAUACA
RNAcentral lists this ribosomal RNA (301 nucleotides) under uncultured bacterium. RNAcentral describes it as "partial 16S ribosomal RNA". It matches the Rfam family "Bacterial small subunit ribosomal RNA", at positions 510 to 808 of the family's 1533-position model. The record is from RNAcentral.